GGAUCCAGACUUUGAUUAUGGCUCAGGAUGAACGCUAGCUACAGGCUUAACACAUGCAAGUCGAGGGGCAGCGGGAUUGAAGCUUGCUUCAAUUGCCGGCGACCGGCGCACGGGUGAGUAACGCGUAUCCAACCUUCCGUACACUCAGGGAUAGCCUUUCGAAAGAAAGAUUAAUACCUGAUAGUAUCUUAAGCACACAUGUAAUUAAGAUUAAAGAUUUAUCGGUGUACGAUGGGGAUGCGUUCCAUUAGGUAGUAGGCGGGGUAACGGCCCACCUAGCCAACGAUGGAUAGGGGUUCUGAGAGGAAGGUCCCCCACAUUGGAACUGAGACACGGUCCAAACUCCUACGGGAGGCAGCAGUGAGGAAUAUUGGUCAAUGGACGAGAGUCUGAACCAGCCAAGUAGCGUGAAGGAUGAAGGUCCUACGGAUUGUAAACUUCUUUUAUAAGGGAAUAAACCCUCCCACGUGUGGGAGCUUGUAUGUACCUUAUGAAUAAGCAUCGGCUAACUCCGUGCCAGCAGCCGCGGUAAUACGGAGGAUGCGAGCGUUAUCCGGAUUUAUUGGGUUUAAAGGGAGCGCAGACGGGUCGUUAAGUCAGCUGUGAAAGUUUGGGGCUCAACCUUAAAAUUGCAGUUGAUACUGGCGUCCUUGAGUGCGGUUGAGGUGUGCGGAAUUCGUGGUGUAGCGGUGAAAUGCUUAGAUAUCACGAAGAACUCCGAUUGCGAAGGCAGCUCACUAAUCCGUAACUGAUGUUCAUGCUCGAAAGUGUGGGUAUCAAACAGGAUUAGAUACCCUGGUAGUCCACACGGUAAACGAUGGAUACUCGCUGUUGGCGAUAUACUGUCAGCGGCUUAGCGAAAGCGUUAAGUAUCCCACCUGGGGAGUACGCCGGCAACGGUGCAACUCAAAUGAAUUGACG
This 921-nucleotide ribosomal RNA is filed under the name uncultured Bacteroidota bacterium. RNAcentral describes it as "bacterial SSU rRNA". It matches the Rfam family "Bacterial small subunit ribosomal RNA", at positions 1 to 915 of the family's 1533-position model. Lineage: Bacteria; Pseudomonadati; Bacteroidota. The record is from RNAcentral.